Molecule: long non-coding RNA, 7660 nt
Filed under: Capsicum annuum
Lineage: Eukaryota; Viridiplantae; Streptophyta; Magnoliopsida; Solanales; Solanaceae
Description: long non-coding RNA (CANN_LNC001689)
Source: RNAcentral
CCCCACCUAAUUCCUUCUUCGGAUCCCUCAAUUUCCACUCUUCACUAUUUUCUCCAAUCCAGAUUCAAAAAAAUAAUUUUUCCCGGCUGUAAUGGCACCUUGUUUCUAAACAACUUAUUAACUAAAAUUUACUGCAGUAACUAAAUUAAUUUUCAACACAUCUAAUUACUCAUUUUAACGGGUGCGGGGUUGAUCAAGUUGGAGGAAAAAACAAUUGAAGAAUUUGCUCACUGGAUCUGAUCAAACUUUCUCAUUGUUUCUGAGCGGAACCAAUCAUGAAUUCCUUUUCUUUCGGCAUGCGUCUUAGGUUAGUAACCCAACCCCAAUUAAAACUCAUGUUUCUUGUGCUUGUUAUUGGAUCAAAUUUGCAAAAUAUUAUCUGGGUCAUUGAUUUUUUUUUGCUGAAAUUUUCUGAUUUUCAGUCUGAAGUUUUAGAUACGAGCUCCUCUCGAUUUGGAUUCAUUAUAUAUAAUUCACUCAAAAUAAUUUUCGUUUUUCAAAUCAUUUUCGUUUGCGGUAUUUCAAAUUUUCAAAUCGAGCUUUGAAGCUUUAGUGGUUGAUCAAUCAUAGAAAGAAGGAAGUAAAAGAAGAAAGAAGAAGGUAGAAGAAGCCAUUAAUGGCUGAAUCCCAGAAGGAAGAAGAACAAGCAGUAUGAUGAAUGGCCAGUUUGGAUAAUCUUAGUAAAGUUAGGCUAAUUUCUUUGCAGACAAAAUGACCGACGGGCGUAUCGCAUAAUUAUUCCAUAAUAUUAUCGUUAGGGAAUUUCGUCUUUGAAAGGUAAUUAUAAUCAAAGAACAGUUAAACUAUGAAAUUUCUAUUUUGUGAACCAAAAAAUUAAUAUUUCUUUAUACUAUAAUAUAUCAAAAUUGAUUGUACAAUUUAACAUUUACGUUACAGAAUAUUUAAUUUAAUAAAAGGGUGCUAAUCAAUAUAUAUAUAUAUAUACUAGUUCCACCCAGGCGCGUGCCAAGACGGGUAUUAUAUUUUUAUCUUUUAAUUAAUCUUAUUUAAUGAAAUAUUAAACAUGCUUUUUUGAUAAGUAUUCAUAAUUAUUUAAGUUAAUAAUUAUCUAAUUGAAUAAUUUAAAUUAAAAUAUUAUUUUUGAGAAAUAAAUAUAUUGUCAGAGAAUUAGAUAUAUAAAUAAUUCUUGAAGAUAAAUAAUUUUUGAAGAUAAGUAUAUAAAUAAUUUUGAUUCGCCAAAAAUAAUAAAUCAAAAAAUAUGAUACUUUUAUGAAUUUGUUAGUAUAGAUAAAAUAAAUUUAUUUUGAUGAAAAAUCUUUUUUUCUUCUUAUAGAAUUAUUUACUACAACAAAUAUUUUUAUCACUUCAAGUUUAUAUUAAAAUAAUUAGAACAUUAAUUUAGAGUCUUAACACAAAUGACGAAUAAGGACAUUAAAUAGUAAUUAAAUUACAUAAUACAUUACUCAUUUACUUGUCAUAUUUAUUUUCUUACACGCCCUUUAAAGAAUAAACUUUUCUUCCCAUUAUAAUUAUUAAUUUACUUUUUUGAUGUCCACUAAGAAAAAUAGUAGUAAAUAUAAGAUAAUGCCUAUUAAGUUGUCCUAUUUAGUACUUAUAUUUUUUAAAAAAAAUUAAAUAAGAUUUGUAAAAGAUUUCAACCGUGUAGUAAAAAAUUAUUGCAAACGUUAAUUUCAUGUUAAAAGGUAUUUUGACGUAAUUUUUUUUCAAGUUAAAGUGAUUGUUUUUAAUAAAUAAAAGAAGUUAUAAUUAAAAGGCAAUCCAAUAAAUUACAAGAGGAAACCAAUUAUAAAAGGCCAAGUGAAGAUGGCCUUAACAAAAAAAGGAGAGGGCAAAAAUAAAAAUAUACAAGAAAAGGAAAUCAUCAAUGCACUACAAAUUUGACAUGUACAAUAACUUUGCUUAAAAAAAAGUGAAAUGUCUAAAAAGUCCUUGUGAGGACUACCAAACUUGUGAUUCUCCCUUAUAUAUAAGUACUAGUCUCGGGGGGGCCGUGCUAAGCUCGGGGCCAACCUCAAGAUCUAAAAAGUGAAAUGUCUAAAAAGUCCUUGUGAGGACUACCAAACUUGUGAUUCUUCCUUAUAUAUAUAUGUAUAUAUAUAUAUAUGUAUAUAUGUAUGUAUGUAUACUAGGUGGGAAUACACUGGGUAUGCUGUUGUUGAUAUGUAGGACAUACAACAAUAAAUAAUGUAAAUACAAAGUAAGAAAACAUGAAUGAAUGCAAGAAGAUGAUUUCAAUCAAACCUAAAAUAAGAAGAAAAGUAGAAGUAGAAGAAAUUGACUCACAAUUUUUAACUUCAUAAUUAUAAGUAAAGUUUAGCCGUAUCUUUAACAUCUCAAUAAACAUGGCCGAUGAGAUAUAAGAACAAUAUAAAUUUUAAUAAUAGUUAAUUUUUUAUUUAGACGAAUAUGAAUCCUUGUGGGUUAUUGCAUAUAGAUUCUAAAUAUAAUUAUAAGAUGUAGUUCUAACCAAAUUGAUUCUUAUUUACCUAUGUACGUAAUUCUAAUAAGUUGACUAAAGAAUCCUAAUUAAUUUAAGUUAUUGAUAUUACAUGUUUUUAUAUUUGGAAAAUGUAAGAAGCCCUAAUAUUCACUUUGGAAUUAACUAAAAUUGAACUUACUAAAUCUUUCCUUGUAAUUGUUUGAGUUAUGUUAAAAUUCAAAAAUUUUAAAAAUAAUGUAAAUUUUACAUUUAGAUUAAUUAUUGUAGGGUGUAGGUUGGUAGAAUCCUAUUCAACUCCUCCUUUAAUAUUUUAUAUUAAAAACUUAAAGUACUUAAACUUUACCUUAUAUAGAAAUCUGAGUAUAUGAUGUAUAAUUCCUUCAUGUUAGGUUUCUUUAUCUUAAUCAAAUAAAAAUUAACAUGGAAUUUGUGAUGCUUUUUUAUUAAUUAAAAUUUAAAAUUUACGUGUGUGGUUUUCACUUGUUAAAGGACAAUUUUCUUAAACUUUUCUUACCAUAUAUUUUAAGACUCCUUUUUCAUGUACACAGGGAUAAAACAAAACCUACUAAUAACAAUUUACCAUAUAUAUUUGAAUUACUUAAUUUUUUAAUAAUUAAUUAAUAAUUAAAGAAAAUAACUGAAAAGAUAAUUUUAUCUAUUGCGGAGUCUUUUUAUGAAAGGCAAAGAGUUGAAUCACUUUUCUAAGGGUCUUCACACUUUUAAUAUACUAGUUUAGGUGUACGCGCUUCGCGCGUGUAUCUUAGUUUAAUGAAUUCAAUUUUAUAAAAUCAUUCAAGAUAAUGAUUUUUCAAAAAGUGUAUUGCAUUUUUUGUUUGUUAGCAUCUUCACAUUACAGCUGCUUUCAGCUAUUAUUCAAUUCUAUGAAAAAAGUAGAAAUUAGCCAACCGAAAAGCAAGUAUCUUACUUUAAACACAAGAAAAUUUAUAAAGAAGAGUAUAUUCUCUUUAGUCCUCCCUUGAGCCAUUUUCCUUAGCUCUUGUCUCUUUCUUUAAUCCUCUCAAUCUCUCUUUUCAACUUAUUUAAUUUCAUAUCAACACAAUUAUUAUUUUGUUUGAAUUCUUUAGGCUUGUUAGCUUCUUCAGGAAAUUCCUUAACUAAUCUGUUCAACCCAAUUAAUUUCUCAACUUCAUUGGCUGAUGUAUGAUAUUCAAUAUGUUGGGAAGAUUCCUCGAAAAAUAUUUUUGUCAACUAACAUUUAUAUUUAGGAUUUUAUUAUAGUAGGUAGAUAGAUUAACUCAAUUUACAAUGAAUAAUGUACUUGAUUUGUCUUCAAACCUAAUUAGUAAGCCCAAAAUUGAAAGAGUCGGCUAUAAUACUAAAUUUAUAUGUUCAUCAUUCAAACAAAAGUUAUGCAAAUCAAGAUUCAACACUUAUUAUAAGCUUAUAUUUAGAACUCAACCAAUAAGUUUAAUUAAUAAUCCAAGUAUAAUACCAAUGAAAUAGUUAAAUAACAUAAUCAAAACAAAGUCACAAUUACAUAAAGGAAGAAAAAAAAAAGAGAUAAACCUUUGAUAUUUUUGACCACUUUACUUGAUGGCGACAUAUUUAUUUCUUUCAAUUUUUGAUUAAAAAUUUCCUAUUGAAAGAGAAACACGAGAAAUUAUCAAAAGAGAAAAUUAUAUUGUCAGUUGUGGAUGAUUUAAUCAUAAUUUAUAUCGUAUAAUCUUUAAAGUUAUUAACUAAAAAGAAUAAAGAAAGACAGAGAAGAUGAUAAUUAAUUAGGACUACACACACAAAAAAAGAAAAAGACAACUUGAAUUAAUAACGAAAUAAGGAGAAAAAAUAAAAGUAGAGCUAUGUUUCUUGUAAAUUUGAUCCAAAAUAUAUUAAUUAAAUAGAAUUGUAAUUUUUAUUUUAACCAAUUAAUUAAAGUUUUUAAAGAUUUAUUUAAGAUAGAAUUUUUAAUUGAUUUAAAAUUCCUAAAUUUUAGCUAAAAAAGAAAAAGAAAAAGAUAACUUGAAUUAAUAACGAAAUAAGGAGAAAAAAUAGAAGUAGAGCUAUGUUUCUUGUAAAUUUGAUCCAAAAUAUAUUAAUUAAAUAGAAUUGUAGAUUUUUUUUUCUUUAUAUAACAUAAAAUUUUAAGUGAUUUAGAAGUGUUAAAUAUUAUGAAUUCUUACUUAAAUUAAAUAACCAAAUCAAAAGAAGUUAUACCUAAAAUAAAUUGGGAACAAAACUUUUAGCAAAAAGGAUUCUUACGUGAAGAUAAAAAAUGUCAAAAUAGUACUCACCAAUUAAUUAAUAUUUUUAAAGAUUUAUUUAAGAAACAACUUUUAAUUGAUUUAAAAUGCCUAAAUUUUAGCUAUAUAAUUCUAAUAAGGAAAGGUUUAAGAACUAAAUUUUAAUGAAUUUUUAAGUUAUAAAUUUUUUUUAAAAUGUAAAAAUAUAUUUACGUCUAUUGCAUAUUUUUGUAAUGAAGGAUAAAAAGUUUAAAUUAUUUUUUUCAAGGGUUUUUACACUUUUAAUAUAUUAUAAAUAUAGAUAUAUAUAAAGGAGAAUUAAGACAGUUGUGAUGUGGCAUGUCCCUCCGUUCACAUUUAUCUUUUUUCUCUUUUUUUGACAAUUUUUUUAAUUUUUUUCUUUGUUUUCUACUCAAAAGGUUUAAACAAUAUACUAUCCAUUCAUUGAGUGUAAUUAAUAAUUAUUGUAAUUAAGCUAAUGAAAUUGAAAAGUCCCCAUCAACUAUAUAGUCUGCUGUCCAUCGUGCCAUCUCCCCUUUAUUAAUUUUGAGAAUAUUAAUUUUAUUACAUACUCAGAAAAAUCAACCGUCAUCUUUAAUAAUCUUAAGCAUACCACUUUAUUCUAUUAAUUACACCUUUUCCUUUUCUCUGAAUCUGUUUCAGAUAGAAUUUUUUAUAUACCAGGUAAAUGAGAACAAAUUGAACAUAGGUCUAAUUAUCUAAAAUGAUUUGUUGGAAUUUAUUAGCACAUGGAAAAGAUAUCUUAUUUCUCUUAUAAUUUAGGUAGUUGAAUGGUAUUUAAUGCAUCGUGCAAGUAUUCUUUUUAUUUUUUUGUUUUUAUUUCUUCUUUGUUCAUUAUUUUAUUUUCGAAAUGUUUUUAACUUCGUUUAUCUAUCUUUUUUUUUCGAAAGAAAAUUUUAUUGUGAUUUUUCUUAAGUUUUUGAUGAAUUAGAACGUUAUCGCCCGCAAGUUAUCAACAUUUUAUCAUUAAUUCAUGGUGUCAAUAGACAACAUUUAUUUGUUGCGCUUAUCUACAGAUAGCGUACGGGAUUGGCCAUCUGCUAGGAAAAAAUAGAUGGAUGAAUAAGUUCAUACUGUCCUUGAGAUCGUGAAUUGAUUUUGUUACUAUCAGUAUUUUGUGCUUUAAAUUAUGCUUUGAGUGAUAAAUAAUUAAAUGAUCUUAGUAUAGGUGCUUCAACUAUGAAUGACGGGGUCUUUGCAGGGAGUUAUUAUUUUUCUACUACUCCAAAUAGAAUUUUUCGUCAUUCACCUUCUUCCACAAAUUUUCUACUAAUAGAAUUUUUUUCAUCAUUCACCUUUUUUCACAAUUGUAAAUGCUAAUUAGGAUUUGCAUUUAAAAUACAUAAUCUGUCUUAGAAUAAAAUAUUGUUAUUAUGUAUAAAGCUGGACAUAAAUAAAGUGAUAUAUGACACUUUUCUACGACUAACGUUACUAUUUAUUUUUUUGUGAAAUUUUUGAUAGUUUUCGUCAAUUUCUUCCUUCAAAUAUUAUUUAAAUAAAGGCUUCUUGUAUGCAUUGAUUGUUAAAGAAAAAAAUAUCUCUGUGUUGAAUUUUAAGGUAAAGAAAUUGUUAUUUUCCUGCAUUAAAACUAUUCUAAAUUCAUUAGAAUUAUACAUUCAGAAAAGAAUUGAAUUGAAUAAUAAAAUUUCAGUUUCAAAAACCCCUCAUUUUCGGAUACUAAAUGAAAGAAAAAUGAUGAUUUUGCAAAUUAUAUUAUGAUACAAUAAAAAGAUUGAAGAAGUGAACAAAGAAACAAAUGAUUGGUGUUGUGAAGGCGAAGUUGCAGGUUGGCAUCGACAAACCAAUAAGUGAUCCACAUGAAGCAUCAAUUAUUCAGUAUCACCGGGCUUUUCUUUUUUGACUUUUAUUUUGGUGAAUUAUUCUUUAACAUGGUGAGCACAUAUCUAAAAGUACUGUUGAUCUUUAUUUAUAAGUCUGGAAGUGUGAAAUUGCGUUUGAAAUGUAUCAUUUCUGUGUGGUACCUAUAUUGCUUGAACCUUUUAAAAUUAUUGAUGUAUCCUCCAAAGUGUACUAUUUCUGAAGAAUUCAUAUAUAGGCGUUGAUAUUUUUAAAGAGUUUAAUUAACAUAAUGUGGUAUUGUGUAGCCUCUUUUCAGAUUUGAUUUGUGCAAGUAAUUUCAAAUAUACAUAUCAAUGAGAUGAGUGUGUGAAUAUUUGUGGUAAGUUAAAAUUGCACUGUAACGAAAAAAGUGACUAUUCACUUCGGUAUAUGUAAUUGAAAUUGUGCCAAGUAUGUCUGUCAAAAAGAGCGAAAAUCGUUUUCCCUGAAGUUUGUCUUAAAAAUCAAUCUCCAACUAUCAACAAUAAUCAACCUCCCCCCUUUAUCCCAUGCAAUAUCCAUUUUUUCCUUGUAAUAUGAUAAUGUUUAUGGACAUUGCAUAAAAACAUAAACAUUUAUCUUCAUUUUUAAAAAAAAAUCAUAUAACAAAAUCUUCAUAAAAACAUAAACAUUAUCUUCUAAGAAAAAAAUAACUAAUUAAGUAUAUAAGCUAAUGAUGAUCUUUAUGAAGUAAAUUAGCAUGAUAUAAGAAAAUAAGUUUUAUUAAUAAUAAUCAAAAAUAUAAUAUUUAUUUUACAAGUGAAAAUAAUAAGUAAUACUAAUUUUAUAAACAUAUUUCAAUGCAAAAAAUACGAACAAUAAAUGAAAGAGAUUAGUCUCUAGUAAAACCUUUAUUACAUAAAAUGGAGCCCACGUCAAAGGUGUUACGCCAUCUAAAAUAAUUGACAAAGGGUAUCAUGUUAGCUAAAAAGUUUGACAAAAAUACGCUAAAAUUUAGUUUAAGGGGUAAUAGGACCCCCGUGUAGUUGACGUGUGUCGUAGCAAAUCUGAUCAUAGUUCGGGGGCACUAGAUGUUUUUUUCGAAUAAAAAUAAGGUCAAAUUUUAAAGAUUAUAUUAUUUAUAUAAAUUAUAAAAUAUGUAAUACUCUAUUAAUGACAAUCACAACUUAUUUACUGAUAUAGACAAUAGAUAAUAUCGUUUCUUAUCACUUGAUCCUCA